Molecule: transfer RNA, 75 nt
Filed under: bacterium
Lineage: Bacteria
Description: tRNA-Glu
Rfam family: tRNA
About the family: Transfer RNA (tRNA) molecules are approximately 80 nucleotides in length. Their secondary structure includes four short double-helical elements and three loops (D, anti-codon, and T loops).
Source: RNAcentral
GGCCCCAUCGUCUAUCGGUUAGGACACGGGCUUUUCAAGCCUGUAAGGCGAGUUCGACUCUCGCUGGGGUCACCA